UAUUAACAGGUGCUUGCAGUUUGUUGACUUUUUUGAAAAAAAAAAGUCAAGUUGUAAACUUUUAUUACAAAUUAAAAAUGAAGUUCUUAAAAAUCUCAACUUGACCAGAUAUGAAACAAUUUAAAAA
Molecule: long non-coding RNA, 127 nt
Organism: Dipodomys ordii (Ord's kangaroo rat)
Lineage: Eukaryota; Metazoa; Chordata; Mammalia; Rodentia; Heteromyidae
Exons: 2
Source: RefSeq, a predicted model, not a curated record